This 254-nucleotide ribosomal RNA is filed under the name uncultured bacterium. RNAcentral describes it as "partial 16S ribosomal RNA". It matches the Rfam family "Bacterial small subunit ribosomal RNA", at positions 524 to 776 of the family's 1533-position model. The record is from RNAcentral.
UACGUAGGGGCCUAGCGUUGUCCGGAUUUAUUGGGCGUAAAGAGCUCGUAGGCGGUUCGGUAAGUCAGGUGUGAAAUCUCCACGCUCAACGUGGAGGCGCCACCUGAAACUGCCGUGACUCGAGUCCGGUAGGGGAGUGUGGAAUUCCCGGUGUAGCGGUGAAAUGCGUAGAUAUCGAGAGGAACACCAGUGGCGAAGGCGAGUCCCUGGACAACACCUGACACUGAGGCACGAAAGCUAGGGGAGCAAACAGG